AGUGGCGGACGGGUGAGUAACGCGUGGGUAACCUGCCUUGUACAGGGGGAUAACAGUUGGAAACGGCUGCUAAUACCGCAUAAGCGCACGGUUCCGCAUGGAACAGUGUGAAAAACUCCGGUGGUGUGAGAUGGACCCGCGUCUGAUUAGCCAGUUGGCGGGGUAACGGCCCACCAAAGCGACGAUCAGUAGCCGGCCUGAGAGGGUGAACGGCCACAUUGGGACUGAGACACGGCCCAA
RNAcentral lists this ribosomal RNA (240 nucleotides) under uncultured bacterium. Its description in RNAcentral is "partial 16S ribosomal RNA". It matches the Rfam family "Bacterial small subunit ribosomal RNA", at positions 94 to 334 of the family's 1533-position model. The record is from RNAcentral.